UCGUAAUCGUCCGUAGCUCUGUUAAUAUGAGACGUUUCACAGAAAUCGCGGUGCGAAUGAUUAACUUUAGCUGUAUCUUACGCGUUUACAAAAUUUGUCCGAACCAUUUCAAGGGCCCUUUAACUAAUUAAGCGGAAUAUAAAAAAAUACUCUAAGGAGCGCCGCGAGACAGCGAACCAUAUGCCGUUGGUUUCAUUGAGCUGUGGCUAACAAGUUUUUUUUAAUCCUGGGCACAAGUUACGCGAAAUUAUAUGCGGCCACUCGAGGCUCAUUCACGCCGCCACCGAUGCCGUGCUGUCCCGCUAUCGGCGUCUGCGCAGCUCCCGGGCGGCGUUUUUUUUUUUUUUUUUUUUAAACACCGAGUGCGUUUGGCUGAAAAUACGACGAAGCGAAGCGGACGCACCACCAACGCUACGCUCAAUCGCCUCACCGGCGGCGUUCCCACUGAGUUGCUUUGCGUGUGCUCAGUUCUGAGCAGUAAGCGUCAAGCUAUCUGAGGUUUCACUGGACGCUGUCUCCCGCAGACGAUUUUUGUCAGUCUCGCCUCGUGCGCCAUGGAGGACAGAGUCAUUGUGAAAUGCACGUGUGGGACGACAAGAUUGCGGAGGGUGCCACGCCAGUGUGUGAGAGAACGUACGACGCUAUUUGUGAACAUAAAUAUCAAGUUUAUCACGCAUAUUGCAACCAGUGACAUUUCCGAUAGCGCGUGUCGCAUUUCAUUAAUUCCAAUAAAAGACUUGCUUAUUGUGUGAA
This is a long non-coding RNA of Dermacentor andersoni, 753 nucleotides long. RefSeq lists it as uncharacterized. NCBI's taxonomy places the organism in Eukaryota, Metazoa, Arthropoda, Arachnida, Ixodida, Ixodidae. The record is from RefSeq and is a predicted model, not a curated record.